AUUGAACGCUGGCGGCAGGCCUAACACAUGCAAGUCGAGCGGAUGAAGGGAGCUUGCUCCUGGAUUCAGCGGCGGACGGGUGAGUAAUGCCUAGGAAUCUGCCUGGUAGUGGGGGAUAACGUCCGGAAACGGGCGCUAAUACCGCAUACGUCCUGAGGGAGAAAGUGGGGGAUCUUCGGACCUCACGCUAUCAGAUGAGCCUAGGUCGGAUUAGCUAGUUGGUGGGGUAAAGGCCUACCAAGGCGACGAUCCGUAACUGGUCUGAGAGGAUGAUCAGGCACACUGGAACUGAGACACGGUCCAGACUCCUACGGGAGGCAGCAGUGGGAAAUAUUGGACAAUGGGCGAAAGCCUGAUCCAGCCAUGCCGCGUGUGUGAAGAAGGUCUUCGGAUUGUAAAGCACUUUAAGUUGGGAGGAAGGGCAGUAAGUUAAUACCUUGCUGUUUUGACGUUACCAACAGAAUAAGCACCGGCUAACUUCGUG
Molecule: ribosomal RNA, 484 nt
Filed under: uncultured bacterium
Lineage: Bacteria
Description: partial 16S ribosomal RNA
Rfam family: Bacterial small subunit ribosomal RNA
Source: RNAcentral